GUGAUUGGUCACUUGGGGGCAGCACGUUGUAAACACCACGCGGACGUUUCUUCGCGGUUUAAAGUUAAUAUGGCUAACUAGUUAGCAAACUGUUGCUUAUUUACACUACCGCCAGACACAAGGAAACAUUAACCUGUAUUUGGAGUCGCCUGAGGGAUGAAUGAACGAGUGGGUGAGGAGAGCGGCCACAAGAGGUGGAAAUCAUCGCCUGAGAGGAAGCAGGAAGUGGCUGCUGAUGGCGUCAGGAUCGAGGUGUCGCUCCCUGCCUGGGUGCUCUGCCGUGCCACAUCUGUCCAUCUGUCAAGCAUACAGGCCCAUCAAUCAAACAGCUGAAUGCAGAAGCUGAGGAGGAGCAGGAGCCGGGAACAACAGCAUAACAGGAGUUUGACAGACUCCCCCCUCCCUCCUCCUCUGCACCCAUCCCCCCUCCCCCGGUCAUUCUCAGAGGAGUUGUUCCCUGCCCAGUGGCAUGUGGAUGUGUAUAAUGGAGAUGGAUGGUGGCUGGCUCUGCCACACCGUGGAACAGACGGACUCCUCCCUAAACGCCUGUCUGCCAGCCUCCAUCAGUCUCCCUCCGACAGCCCCUCCGGAAUACAGCCCAGGCUCAAUAUCGGCCUGCUCAGGUGUGCGCUGGUGUGUGUGUGUGUGUGUGUGCACAUAAGCCAUACUUACUGGUACAUGUUAUUAUUUUGUGUUGAAAAGUUGACUUUUUUUAGCUCUGACUUCUUGUAACAUUUCAAAUGGAAAUCAAACGACAUCAACAUGCACAACAAGAAGUAAUGCCAGAGUAACCCAGGGGUGAAGCGCUGCAGCGAGCUCCCAAAGAGCCUAUUUGCAAAGAUAUAUCCC
Molecule: long non-coding RNA, 849 nt
Filed under: Cottoperca gobio
Lineage: Eukaryota; Metazoa; Chordata; Actinopteri; Perciformes; Bovichtidae
Description: lncRNA (ENSCGOG00000010737.1)
Source: RNAcentral